UUGUUUUGGAUUUCCAGCAUCCACAGUUUUUUGCUUUUAUCUUGCCUGAAGUCCAUAUGGCAGGCCUUUGAUUGAGUUUUUAAAAAACUUUUCUGCUCUCACAAUGACUGCAAUCCUCCAACAGGUCAUUUCAAAACAAACUAUUGAGAAAUCCAAAUGCAGAGAUUCAGUUCCCUUUCUGACUGGUACUUGCUGGUUUCAAAAUAAAAGUUGUGUGGGCCAAGCUUAUGGUUGUGUUUCUUUUAGGAAAUUAGCUGCUCUACGCAUUCAACACGAGUUAGAUUUUUCCAACACGAGUUAGAUUUUUCCAAGAGUUUCCAGCACUGAUUGGAGGGAGUCCUGAAGAUUUGAUCUCAUGAUGUUCUGAUCAGAAGAUUCAGGUGCCAGUGAAAGCCCUGUCAGACAAGGAACCAUGGCAGGAGGUAUCUGACUUCCAGUCAUUAUCAUGGUCCUGGAACCACAGAGGUAUGGUGGAAGUAGUGCAAGGAGAAUGAUCAGCAGUCUGAGGAGCCGCUACCUCCAACUACAAUGAGGGAACGCUCUUCCAUAGCCACAGAGGGCAUUGAGAUGGCCUACACGAAGAAAGAUGAGAAAGAAGCGCCGAGGAGACAAAUACAAUGUUUAUCCACCCCACGAGAAAUGUUUUACAGUAGCAGCAAUCAUUGAUCAAUGCAAUUGCCGAACCAACUAACUAUUGUUCAAGAUGAAGCAAUGGAAGAAAAGAACAAAAGCAUACACAAAUGCCAGCCUAAUGUCCAAGCCAACAAGAAGAACCAGAACCAACAGAGCCUACCCCACUCCUCUGACAGAGCAGCAAAUAAGAUAUGAAAGGGCUAUAAAGCCUCCAGAAUGCCUCAACCUAUAAACUCAAGGACUUGAAGGAGGGAGAUGGGGUAGUGAUAAUAUUGUAGUCGUCAUAAUGUAGUAAUCGCAAUAAUGUGGUAACAGCAAUGUAAAUGCAUGAGACUGCUAACAAUGUAAAACAUGGAGUAAACCCAGUGUAGCUUCAUAUACAUUAGAUAAAAACUUGGGGACAGGUGUAGUGCAAGGGCCUAGCACAUACAGGGUUAGUGGGGACUGAGUUUAGUACCACCCACACUGUGAUGUAAGAAGGCACAUGAUGCAGCCCUAAGGUCAAUGUGCUGUUGAGCAGAGACGUGUAGAAACCUAGACAUGGAGAUAGUUCCUUGCCUGUACCCUUUACUAUUUCUAUGUAUACAGUUUCAUGUAGUUAAUAAAAACUUGUUAACCUACUGGAGACUAUAAGGAUUUCUUUAAGAGACACCAUUCUGUAACCAAUGCCCUAGCGCCUGACAAAUAGCUGCAGAAAUGUUGCGGUGAAUGGCUGGCCAAAGGUUACAAAGUAGGGAAUUUGAAAGUGCAAUUGUCAGAGACUUGGGGAAUAAUUUUUCUAGUGGUGAACACAGAUGAAUCUGGUUUUGGGAAGGGGAACAGAGGUGUGGAUGGAGACUGAGACAAUGAAGUCAUCAGAGAUGACCAUAUCUGUGUUUUACACAAUGAGAGUGGCAAGGUCACAUGGCAAGGUGAAUGGCUUGCUACGCAUAUGGUUAGGGGGAGUUUACAUGGAAGGAGACAUUAAAGGGAUGAUAGGACGUCAGUACGUUCAGAGGAAGGGAAGGUGCAAGAAGGCUAAGGGAAAAUUUUCUGAUAAAAGUCAGACUGCAACCACAGUGAUUUGGGUGGGGCAAUUAGUAAAUGGUGCAGCCAAGUGGGGAUGCUUCAUUCAGGGGAAAGUUGCUAAUGGUAGAUUGAUUAUCUUGUUAAAGAUUCACAAGUGCUGGGCAUUGUUUGAUUAGGGACUGAGAGCACAUAUAAAGAGGGUCUACCGCUUUAAGGGUCUGUUAUCUUGUUCAUUUGUUUACUUCUUAUUGCUUUACUCAAAAGAGUAUAAAGAGGGACUGUGGGGACACUGGGUUAAUAGUUAGGAAGCAAAGA
Molecule: long non-coding RNA, 1956 nt
Organism: Carcharodon carcharias (great white shark)
Lineage: Eukaryota; Metazoa; Chordata; Chondrichthyes; Lamniformes; Lamnidae
Exons: 3
Source: RefSeq, a predicted model, not a curated record